UGUGAGGGGAGGGGGGGCCUUCAGCCUGGAUUGUGAGAGAGCACAGGCCAAGCUGAAGGACUCCACUGGUGCAUG
Non-coding RNA from Myotis davidii, 75 nucleotides. The record is from Rfam. Lineage: Eukaryota; Metazoa; Chordata; Mammalia; Chiroptera; Vespertilionidae.